GAUGAACGCUAGCGGCGUGCCUAAUGCAUGCAAGUCGAACGGGACCCUUUGGAUUCGUCUGAAGGUGAGAGUGGCGAACGGGUGAGUAUCGCGUUGGUGACCUGCCCCAGAGAGAGGGACAACCAGUGGAAACGCUGGCUAAUACCUCGGAUGUCUUUGUGUUUAGAAAGCAAUGACUAAAGCUCCGGCGCUCUGGGAGGGGCCUGCGUCCCAUCAGCUUGUUGGUAAGGUAAUGGCUUACCAAGGCUAAGACGGGUAGGGGGCGUGAGAGCGUGGCCCCCCACACUGGUACUGAAACACGGACCAGAUACCUACGGGUAGCAGCAGCAAGGAAUAUUGCCCAAUGGACGAAAGUCUGAGGCAGCAACGCCGCGUGGAGGAUGAAGGCUUUCGGGCUGUAACUCC
RNAcentral lists this ribosomal RNA (405 nucleotides) under uncultured bacterium. RNAcentral's name for it is "bacterial SSU rRNA". It matches the Rfam family "Bacterial small subunit ribosomal RNA", at positions 28 to 433 of the family's 1533-position model. The record is from RNAcentral.